Molecule: ribosomal RNA, 613 nt
Filed under: uncultured Gammaproteobacteria bacterium
Lineage: Bacteria; Pseudomonadati; Pseudomonadota; Gammaproteobacteria
Description: bacterial SSU rRNA
Rfam family: Bacterial small subunit ribosomal RNA
Source: RNAcentral
AGAGUUUGAUCAUGGCUCAGAAUGAACGCUGGCGGUAGGCUUAACACAUGCAAGUCGGACGGAAACGACAAGAACAAUCACUUCGGUGUGCGCUCUUGGGCGUCGAGUGGCGGACGGGUGAGUAAUGCCUGGGAAUCUACCCUAAUGUUGGGGACAACAUAUGGAAACGUAUGCUAAUACCGAAUGUGAUCUACGGAUUAAAGGUGCCCUCUCCUUGGAAGGUAUCGCAUUAGGAUGAGCCCAGGUGAGAUUAGCUAGUUGGUAAGGUAAUGGCUUACCAAGGCGACGAUCUCUAGCUGGUUUGAGAGGAUGAUCAGCCACACUGGGACUGAGACACGGCCCAGACUCCUACGGGAGGCAGCAGUGGGGAAUAUUGCACAAUGAGCGAAAGCUUGAUGCAGCCAUACCGCGUGUGUGAAGAAGGCCCGAGGGUUGUAAAGCACUUUCAAUUGUGAGGAAGGUUCAGUAGUUAAUACCUGCUGUUCUUGACGUUAACUUUAGAAGAAGCACCGGCUAACUCUGUGCCAGCAGCCGCGGUAAUACAGAGGGUGCAAGCGUUAUUCGGAAUUACUGGGCGUAAAGCGCGCGUAGGCGGAAUAUUAAGUCAGUUGUG